Poecile atricapillus (Black-capped chickadee) is the source of this 1486-nucleotide long non-coding RNA. RefSeq lists it as uncharacterized. NCBI's taxonomy places the organism in Eukaryota, Metazoa, Chordata, Aves, Passeriformes, Paridae. The transcript is spliced from 4 exons. The record is from RefSeq and is a predicted model, not a curated record.
AGGAGCCCGGGCCGAGGCAGAGCCCGGCUGCCCCAGCCCCGAGUGCGGCCGGACGGGCUCGAAGGAGCCGCCGCAGGUGAACAAUGCGAGCUGUGAGGGGCUGAACACGGCUGAGCGGUGUCCUGGCCGGAGUGAGCGUGCGGGGCUGUGAAAAGCGCCGUCAGUGCACGCUAUUAACUGAUAAAUAGCGGAUUUAGUUGGAGUUCUGGCGGCCUGGCAGGCUCUAGUCUGUCCUGACUGGAAGAUUCUGUAGUAGGGGUUCAUAGUUCAAGUGGGAAACAGGGGAAGUUGCUUGAACAAUGCAUAAAAAAUAAAUAAUAAAUCGCAUUCGCAGGUGUACCCAGCAGCCUGGCUCUCCGUGCUAACAAGCAGCCGCAGUGGGAUCAGGUGUGUCUAAAUUAGUCCCAGCAGGAGAUUCAUGUGCUAAUUAGCAGCCCAGUUAAUAGGGCAGACUGGGAGCUGUGCUUGCUGCUCCCCGGAUUUCCAAAACCUCAGGAGAAGGAACGCAGGGAUGCAGUGUGAGCAUCAGAGGCAGCCGUGCUUUAGGGGUAGCAGGGGCUGGGGUUCCCCUUGUGAAGGAACAUUUCUGCAUCCCGAGAGAAGCUGCCCAGCAUUCCAGAGGGAAGGAAGAGCUCGGAGGUGCGGUGGGAGAGGAGCUGUCCCCAGCAGGUGGCAGGAGCCGCCUUCCCUCACGCUCCGUGCCGCUGUCCAUGGUUACCCACGGCAGCCCGGGAUGCUCGGGAACAGGAGCAGGAAAGGGACGGUGUGGGGCACAGGUUGUCCCUGGACAACAAUCCCAGCCUGUCCCAGCUGGAAGUGCUGAGCCAGGCACUGCUUCUGGACCAGUUUCUCCUUGAGUUUGGGGUUUGGAGCUGUGCCUGCCCAGGAGCAGGAGGAAUUCCCUGUCCUCCUGGUGAGCAUCUUCCCCUGCAUCGCCUCAGAAUGAGGAUUUCCAGUUUGGUUAUUAAUUACAAUUCUGGCUCGAGAUGUUUCUAUGGGGCAUUCAGGUGUAGUUUUUCUAAUCACCAUCCUGGUAAUUAAUCUGCCAGCCAAGCUCCCUCAUUAGCAGCCUGCCUCGUGUUGGUCUGUCCCAUUAAACCUUCUGGAGCUUUUGAGGGCUGCUCACAAGUUUUGUGAAAGUUGUUUGUGAUAAGCUCAGGUUGUGGUCAGUUAAUAAUCUUAUUUAAACAGUGAUUGAAUGAAAAUAUUUAGUUACUAUCACCAAAAAUGAAUAUUCCCCUCAGCAUCUUUACAAGCACAAAAGAUAAAUAUUUGUUUUAUCAUUCUCUAAGAGUUACUGUAUUGAUUCCAAAUAACAGAUCCAAGCUAUUACAAUCAUUUCCCCUGUUAUUCUUUUAAAACAUCCUUGUUGUCCUUUCCCUUAUUAGUAAAGUUGUAUUUUUACUCAUCUCUGUAACUUUUCUUUUUAGUGUUUUUGCUAAGUGAUCCCUCUGAUCUCCAUUGGUUGCAAGGCUGAUUUUUUUUA